GCGCUCGCUUCCACAGCACAUAUACUAAAAUUGGAAUGAUACAGAGAAGAUUUGAUUGGCCCCUGCUAAAGGAUGACAUGCAAAUUUAUGAUUUGGUGGCUGUUCUU
Molecule: small nuclear RNA, 107 nt
Filed under: Neotoma lepida (desert woodrat)
Lineage: Eukaryota; Metazoa; Chordata; Mammalia; Rodentia; Cricetidae
Source: RNAcentral